UCGAGUUUUUGUUGGUCUUCAACAAAACUUCAUCCUAUGUUUACAUACUUGUAUACUUUGGCAAGACGCUUUGACUUGAAGUUGGAGAAUAUUCAGCCAUAAGAAAAAGCCACUGACGUCAUUUACUUGACAGUGAGUGUGUUUGCUUGCCAAAGGUCUUAACUCUUUAUACUGUUGUCUGAGUAUUACAAAAAUAAAUUA
This 201-nucleotide unclassified non-coding RNA is filed under the name uncultured fungus. Its description in RNAcentral is "sequence contains ITS1, 5.8S rRNA gene". Lineage: Eukaryota; Fungi. The record is from RNAcentral.